Long non-coding RNA from Capra hircus (goat), 825 nucleotides. RefSeq lists it as uncharacterized. The record is from RefSeq and is a predicted model, not a curated record. The transcript is spliced from 2 exons. NCBI's taxonomy places the organism in Eukaryota, Metazoa, Chordata, Mammalia, Artiodactyla, Bovidae.
GCGAGGGAGGGGAACCGAGAGAGUGAGAGUGAGACAGGAAGACCCGAGAGCCCGAGGCCCGAGCCGGGAGCCGGGACGCUGGGGUCCAGGGUGUUCACGCCGGGGGGCUGAAGAGAUUCGUGUACCGCUUCCGUGUAUCAGCCAAACUUCAGCUGACCUUUGGACUCGUUAAACAAGUAGCUUGCAGCCUGGUGUGCAAGCCGCCGGGACUUUUCCACCCGCGGCGGGUCCGGCUUUAAGUCCGGAGAGGAGAAACUGUGCUUGAGGGCUCAGGUGAGGGCUGGAGGAAGCUGGGGUGCUCUUGGGAGAACGAGACGGAGGAGCAGGACCCUCACACGCGUCCCGACCAACCUGCAAGCGGUGGGCCCGGAGAGCGGGGCGAGCGGAGGAAGAAACUGACCGCAGGGGAGUGGACGCGGAGACCCGGGGAAAGAGGGGCGUGUUGGGCGGGGCUCCAGGACACAGCAGUUCCCAGGGCCAGAGACUGAUCUCCGUGGACGCGAGGUCAAGGCGGCGGUGGCUGGCGACUCCCACGCCUAGUUGGGAAGGGGCCGACCAAGCCAGCGAGGGACAGAAGUGAUUGCUCACGCCGGCCCGGUCCAGGAAGGAAGCCGGGAACCUGUCAGCGCUAUCGGAGUUUCACCGGCAUCUCCCCGAGGUGCUCGGACUCCAGGCUGCCCAGGACCUGCAGAAGAUCCAGGGCAGCAGGGGCUUUUUAGGACCCAAGGCUCACAGUCCCAUAGUUCCUGGGGCAGAGGACACCUCCUUCCCCUCUCUAAGCCUCAGGUUCAUCACCUAAGAAAUACUGAAACCUAAAGCCCAGAG